RNAcentral lists this long non-coding RNA (2447 nucleotides) under Mytilus galloprovincialis (Mediterranean mussel). Lineage: Eukaryota; Metazoa; Mollusca; Bivalvia; Mytilida; Mytilidae. The record is from RNAcentral.
CUCAGAUUUUAUUUGCAAAAUAGUCUCUGUAUAAACAUGUCAAAAGUAUAAAGAGCAUAUUAAUGUUAAUGUCUGAACACUGCUCAUUAGCACUACAGAAAUGAAACACACAUCAUGAUUGGUCAGAUCUGUCACAUGACUUAGUAGAAAACACACUAUGAUUACUUAGACCUCGGGUCAUAUACACUGAUAUUUUUUGUGAAAAUACUCAUAUACUUCCAUGUAGAAAAGUAACAUUUCUACAAAAGAUGCAGCUUUUUAAACAGAAUUAAUAAAUAAAGUCAGAUCAUCUUCUGUAUCAUAUAAAUUCAAUCUAAAAUUAAAAUGUAUAAAAACGUUCAGUUUAGUACAAAAAUCUCUAUUCUACCCGAGAUCUAAUGAUUAAUACAUUAUAAUAUCACCAAAGAAACACUAUAUUACAAAGUGUUAGUUAAAUGCAAAAACUAAAAUAUUCUAAAAGAUGAAAACACUACUCAUAAACUUAUAAGAUAUAUAACAAACAAUACAGUAUCACACAUACUGCCACCUUUUAUUUAACCAUUCUCAAUCAUAACAAAUCAUAUGACAAGUCACAUGACAAUAACAUGACAAGUCACAUGACAAUAACAUGACAAUAACAUGACAACAACAUAAUCUGAACUGGUAACUUAUUGAUUGUCUUAUUUCAAAUAACAAUUUCAACAUUAAAUCUGGGACUACCAACAGUAACCAUCACUAUGUCUACUUUAAGGCUGUUUUAAGUGAAUUAAUUGUUCUUUCGUUCAAAAUUGUCAAUACUUUUAAGGUACAAUAUAUAACUGGAAAAUGAAUAAGACUGAAAAAAUAUAAGCCUGUACAAUAAAUUUGAAACAUUGAGGUUGCCUUUAAACACAUAAUUCAUGAUAGUAUAGUUAAUGGGGUUGUGUUACUGAAUCUCUAGUUUUCUGUACUAAAUCUCAAUCAAUUAAUAGACAGUUGAUGUGUGGGUACAUUCCUUCCCAUGAUCCCCAAAAAUUCAAGUCACAAACCUUGUUUUAAUAAUUGACCUAAUAAUUCCAUGAAUAAGCAUGUACAAUUGUAUCUUCCAAAAACACUGAAAACUAUAUUGUUAUUUAGUACACACAAAAGAGAACAGACUGAUAUAUUGACACAUAUUUCCCUAUAAAUGUUUUUAUAUGAAAGAUGUUAUUUGAUUAAUAUUUUUGAUUUUAAAAGUUCAGGGCACUGAUGUGAAACAGAAAAGUUCAGGGCACUGAUGUGAAACAGAAAAGUUCAGGGCACUGAUGUGAAACAGAAAACAAGUCAUUCUAAGCACCAUUUCAAUGAUUUGAUUAUGUAUAACAUUUACAGAAUUCAUCAUACCUAUUUGCACUGAAAGAAAUGUCACAAUGUAAGAUAAUGCUCACAAACCUCAUGAGUUUGGGUGAUAAGAAGAAAAAUGAAAAGUUUUCUUUGGGAGAGGAAUAUUGCAUUAAGAUGAAAUAUGAGUCUCAUAAUUUACAACUAGCAUAUUCAUUAAAGGUUAAACUUUGCAUAUUUUAUUGAAAGUUAAACUUGACAUAUUUUAUCAAAGGUUAAACUUCUCUUAUUUUAUUAAAGGUUAAACUUUGCUUAUUUCAUUAAAGGUUAAUAUUUGCAUAUUUUGUUCAAGGUUAAACUUUUCAUAUUUUAUUACUGUACAAAGGUUUAACUUGGCAUAUUGUAUUAAAGGUUCAAGCAUUGCAUAUCAUUUUAAGGUUAAACUUGGCAUAUAUUUGAUUGAAGAAAUAAAACCUUGCAUAAUUCAUUAAACCCGGCAUAUUUUAUUUUAAAGAUACAGUCAAUUUAAAGUUGUUAAACAGUUUUUACCCUGUGCAAAACAGUUUGAACAAGUAGUGAUAUCAUGCUAUGUGAUACCCUAACCUUUUAUAAAUCUUAUAACAAUAAAAACAUCACUUUAAGUACUUCAAAACUGGAUUGAACAAUUGUUUUCAACUCACAAAAACUGUAUGCAGUGGUAAAGUAGAAGUAAAAAACACAAAUAUUGACUUUUGUACUCAUAAUUAUGAAAAUUUUAUGUACAAUUGUACAAGGUACAAGCCAAAAAAUCAUAUAAAAAAAGUGUGUCUGACUGUCUGGUCAGUAUAACAUUUCUUACUUAUCUGUUGAAAGAUGUUCAAACUUAUGUAUAAAAUGUUGAUACUUUUUACAUGAGGAAUGCUACCUUUCAUUGCAACAAGUUGGAUGUCAACCUAUAAAUAUCUCUAAAUAUAUAAAUACAAAGCUUUGUUACCCACUUUAAAGCCAUAAUACAAAGAUUCUCAUCUCCUGUACCACCAAUACUCAAGACCAAAAAAAAACCUUCUAUUUUGAUUAAAGACUAUUUUCUAAAAUUUGCUUCAUUUUCAUAAAAUAUGACCAAAUAAAUUUAUAAGAAAUUGCAAAUCAACCACAUUUAAAUAAAAGUUUGAUGAUUUUUUUCGGGAUUU